GACGAACCGUGCAAACGUUAUUCGGAAUCACUGGGCAUAAAGGGCGCGUAGGCGGCUCCAAAAGUCAGGGGUGAAAUCCGGCAGCUUAACUGUCGCAGUGCCUUUGAUACUGUGGAGCUAGAGGGAGGUAGGGGUCUGUGGAACUUCCGGUGGAGCGGUGAAAUGCGUAGAUAUCUGGAGGAACACCGGUGGCGAAAGCGGUUCACUGGCCCGACACUGACACUGAGGUGCGAAAGCUAGGGUAGCAAACGGG
RNAcentral lists this ribosomal RNA (253 nucleotides) under uncultured bacterium. Its description in RNAcentral is "partial 16S ribosomal RNA". It matches the Rfam family "Bacterial small subunit ribosomal RNA", at positions 524 to 776 of the family's 1533-position model. The record is from RNAcentral.